GAUGAACGCUGGCGGCGUGCCUAAUACAUGCAAGUCGAGCGAACAGACGAGGAGCUUGCUCCUUUGACGUUAGCGGCGGACGGGUGAGUAACACGUAGGUAACCUACCUAUAAGACUGGGAUAACUUCGGGAAACCGGAGCUAAUACCGGAUAAUAUUCCGAACCGCAUGGUUCGAUAGAGAAAGAUGGCUGUGCUAUCACGUAUAGAUGGACCUGCGCCGUAUUAGCUAGUUGGUAAGGUAACGGCUUACCAAGGCAACGAUACGUAGCCGACCUGAGAGGGUGAUCGGCCACACUGGAACUGAGACACGGUCCAUACUCCUACGGGAGGCAGCAGUAGGGAAUCUUCCGCAAUGGGCGAAAGCCUGACGGAGCAACGCCGCGUGAGUGAUGAAGGUCUUCGGAUCGUAAAGCUCUGUUAUUAGGGAAGAACAAACGUGUAAGUAACUGUGCACGUCUUGACGGUACCUAAUCAGAAAGCAACGGCUAACUACGUG
Molecule: ribosomal RNA, 497 nt
Filed under: uncultured bacterium
Lineage: Bacteria
Description: partial 16S ribosomal RNA
Rfam family: Bacterial small subunit ribosomal RNA
Source: RNAcentral